UCUCAGGAAAUCAGAUUGACAGAACCUAAAGUGCAGCUUUGCCUCCGCUCCACUAGGCGGCACAAGCGGGUUUCAGCUUCAGUCUGACACCUCCGGCUGCUUGACAACAUGACGCUUGAUGACAGUCACAACAACAACACGCGCCGAUCCUACAGAAGACAGCUGUUAAUGUCAGUUUAACAACAUCUUUUUCAGCUAAUCUGCAAAUAAAACCGACACACGCUCUGAUAAACGCUGGAUUCGAGUGUGACGCGACUCGCCUAAUGAGUGGUAUCUUGGUUGUAAACUGGUCCGGCUGAAGCAGAGCUCUGGGACGUGUGGACAGACAUUGACUGUAAUGAUGGACAUCUGCUCAUGGACAGCAUAACCGCUGCUGGUCACAGUGGCGGAAGCUCCAGGGGGAGACCGUAAUGAUAUCCCCCUUCUUUGGGCGCGCCUUCACACACACUCCACCAUUCACUCAUAUCACAGAGACCUGGCUGGGAUUGAACCAGCAACCUCUGAACCAUGAGGCAGCGCUCUUACCUGUGAGCCACAGGUCUCUUGUUGAACCACUGGAAGGAACUUAUAUUUGACUGUUUACCUGUGAUUUCCCAAUAAAGAAGUUAAAGUAAA
Molecule: long non-coding RNA, 615 nt
Organism: Cyprinus carpio (common carp)
Lineage: Eukaryota; Metazoa; Chordata; Actinopteri; Cypriniformes; Cyprinidae
Exons: 3
Source: RefSeq, a predicted model, not a curated record